This 301-nucleotide ribosomal RNA is filed under the name uncultured bacterium. RNAcentral's name for it is "partial 16S ribosomal RNA". It matches the Rfam family "Bacterial small subunit ribosomal RNA", at positions 509 to 807 of the family's 1533-position model. The record is from RNAcentral.
CAGCAGCCGCGGUAAUACGUAGGGUGCAAGCGUUAAUCGGAAUUACUGGGCGUAAAGCGUGCGCAGGCGGUCCGCUAAGACAGAUGUGAAAUCCCCGGGCUUAACCUGGGAACUGCAUUUGUGACUGGCGGGCUAGAGUAUGGCAGAGGGGGGUAGAAUUCCACGUGUAGCAGUGAAAUGCGUAGAGAUGUGGAGGAAUACCGAUGGCGAAGGCAGCCCCCUGGGCCAAUACUGACGCUCAUGCACGAAAGCGUGGGGAGCAAACAGGAUUAGAUACCCCUGUAGUCCCUGUCUCUUAUAC